GGCCCGCUGGCCAAAUGGUAAGGCGUCGGAUUCCAGAAAAAUUCGAGUUUCCCGAAGAUUAAGCGUUCGAUUCGCUUGUGGGUCA
This is a non-coding RNA of Diatrype stigma, 85 nucleotides long. Lineage: Eukaryota; Fungi; Ascomycota; Sordariomycetes; Xylariales; Diatrypaceae. The record is from the annotation of a GenBank genome assembly.